AUGUAUACAAUGAACGUGCCAAAAUUCUUGUGGAGUGAGGCUGUAAUAACAGCUACAUUCCUCAUCAACCGGAUGCCGUCAAGGGUGAUUGGAAUGAAGUCGCCAUGUGAGAUGUUACUAGGUGAGAACAAAUUCUUAGUUCCUCCUAAGGUAUUUGGAUGCACCUGCUUUGUCCGGGAUCAUAGACCCUCAGUGGGAAAAUUGGAUCCACGAGCAGUAAAGUGCAUCUUCAUAGGUUACCCAUCUGGUCAGAAGGGAUACAAGUGUUGGAGUCCCAGCGAGUGGAGAACAUUUGUGAGCAUGGAUGUGACAUUCAGGAGUCUGAACCGUUUUAUGGAGAAAAAACGGAUCUCAGCUCGUUAUUUGACUUCGACUCUCCUAGCAUGA
RNAcentral lists this ribosomal RNA (387 nucleotides) under Triticum aestivum (bread wheat). RNAcentral describes it as "partial small subunit ribosomal RNA". The record is from RNAcentral. Lineage: Eukaryota; Viridiplantae; Streptophyta; Magnoliopsida; Poales; Poaceae.